AGCUGCAGGAAGAGAAAGCAAAAGCGAUUGCCUUAGUAGCGGCGAGCGAAACGGCAGGAGGGCAAACCGAAGAGGUUACUCUUCGGGGUUGUAGGACUGCAAUGUGGACUCAAAGAUUAUAGAAGAAUGAUUUGGGAAGAUCAGCCAAAGAGAGUAAUAGCCUCGUAUUUAAAAUAGUCUUUGUACCUAGCAGUAUCCUGAGUACGGCGGGACACGUGAAAUCCCGUCGGAAUCUGGGAGGACCAUCUCCCAACCCUAAAUACUCCCUAGUGACCGAUAGUGAACCAGUACCGUGAGGGAAAGGUGAAAAGCACCCCGGGAGGGGAGUGAAAUAGAACCUGAAACCGUGUGCCUACAACAAGUUCGAGCCCGUUAAUGGGUGAGAGCGUGCCUUUUGUAGAAUGAACCGGCGAGUUACGUUAUGAUGCGAGGUUAAGUUGAAGAGACGGAGCCGUAGGGAAACCGAGUCUGAAUAGGGCGCCUUAGUAUCAUGACGUAGACCCGAAACCAUGUGACCUACCCAUGAGCAGGUUGAAGGUGCGGUAAGACGCACUGGAGGACCGAACCAGGGCACGUUGAAAAGUGCUUGGAUGACUUGUGGGUAGCGGAGAAAUUCCAAACGAACUUGGAGAUAGCUGGUUCUCUCCGAAAUAGCUUUAGGGCUAGCGUCGACAUUAGAGAUUCUUGGAGGUAGAGCACUGUUUGGGUGAGGGGUCCAUCCCGGAUUACCAAUCUCAGAUAAACUCCGAAUGCCAAUGAAUUAUGGUCGGCAGUCAGACUGCGAGUGCUAAGAUCCGUAGUCGAAAGGGAAACAGCCCAGACCACCAGCUAAGGUCCCAAAAUAAUUGUUAAGUGGAAAAGGAUGUGGGGUUGCACAGACAACUAGGAUGUUAGCUUAGAAGCAGCUAUUCAUUCAAAGAGUGCGUAAUAGCUCACUAGUCGAGUGACCCUGCGCCGAAAAUGUACCGGGGCUAAAACAAUUUACCGAAGCUGUGGAUACCUUUAUAGGUAUGGUAGGAGAGCGUUCUAUGUGUGAUGAAGGUAUACCGUGAGGAGUGCUGGAACGCAUAGAAGUGAGAAUGCCGGUAUGAGUAGCGAAAGACAGGUGAGAAUCCUGUCCACCGUAAGACUAAGGUUUCCAGGGGAAGGCUCGUCCGCCCUGGGUUAGUCGGGACCUAAGGAGAGACCGAAAGGUGUAUCCGAUGGACAACAGGUUGAUAUUCCUGUACUAGAGUAUGUAGUGAUGGAGGGACGCAGUAGGCUAACUAAAGCAGACGAUUGGAAGAGUCUGUCUAAGCAGUGAGGUGUGAAUUGAGUCAAAUGCUUAAUUCUAUAACAUUGAGCUGUGAUGGGGAGCGAAGUUUAGUAGCGAAGUUAGUGACGUCACACUGCCAAGAAAAGCUUCUAGCGUUUAAACAUACUCUACCCGUACCGCAAACCGACACAGGUAGUCGAGGCGAGUAGCCUCAGGUGAGCGAGAGAACUCUCGUUAAGGAACUCGGCAAAAUGACCCCGUAACUUCGGGAGAAGGGGUGCUGACUUAAAGUCAGCCGCAGUGAAUAGGCCCAAGCAACUGUUUAUCAAAAACACAGCUCUCUGCUAAAUCGUAAGAUGAUGUAUAGGGGGUGACGCCUGCCCGGUGCUGGAAGGUUAAGAGGAGUGCUUAGCGUAAGCGAAGGUAUGAAUUGAAGCCCCAGUAAACGGCGGCCGUAACUAUAACGGUCCUAAGGUAGCGAAAUUCCUUGUCGGGUAAGUUCCGACCCGCACGAAAGGCGUAAUGAUUUGGGCACUGUCUCAACGAGAGACUCGGUGAAAUUUUAGUACCUGUGAAGAUGCAGGUUACCCGCGACAGGACGGAAAGACCCCAUGGAGCUUUACUGCAGUUUGAUAUUGAGUGUCUGUACCACAUGUACAGGAUAGGUAGGAGUCUAAGAGAUCGGGACGCCAGUUUCGAAGGAGACGCUGUUGGGAUACUACCCUUGUGUUAUGGCCACUCUAACCCAGAUAGGUGAUCCCUAUCGGAGACAGUGUCUGACGGGCAGUUUGACUGGGGCGGUCGCCUCCUAAAAGGUAACGGAGGCGCCCAAAGGUUCCCUCAGAAUGGUUGGAAAUCAUUCGCAGAGUGUAAAGGUAUAAGGGAGCUUGACUGCGAGAGCUACAACUCGAGCAGGGACGAAAGUCGGGCUUAGUGAUCCGGUGGUUCCGUAUGGAAGGGCCAUCGCUCAACGGAUAAAAGCUACCCUGGGGAUAACAGGCUUAUCUCCCCCAAGAGUUCACAGCGACGGGGAGGUUUGGCACCUCGAUGUCGGCUCGUCGCAUCCUGGGGCUGUAGUCGGGCCCAAGGGUUGGGCUGUUCGCCCAUUAAAGCGGCACGCGAGCUGGGUUCAGAACGUCGUGAGACAGUUCGGUCCCUAUCCGUCGCGGGCGUAGGAAAUUUGAGAGGAUCUGCUCCUAGUACGAGAGGACCAGAGUGGACUUACCGCUGGUGUACCAGUUGUCUUGCCAAAGGCAUCGCUGGGUAGCUAUGUAGGGAAGGGAUAAACGCUGAAAGCAUCUAAGUGUGAAACCCACCUCAAGAUGAGAUUUCCCAUGAUUAUAUAUCAGUAAGAGCCCUGAGAGAUGAUCAGGUAGAUAGGUUAGAAGUGGAAGUGUGGCGACACAUGUAGCGGACUAAUACUAAUAGCUCGAGGACUUAUCCAA
RNAcentral lists this ribosomal RNA (2700 nucleotides) under Streptococcus pneumoniae. RNAcentral describes it as "bacterial LSU rRNA". It matches the Rfam family "Bacterial large subunit ribosomal RNA". The record is from RNAcentral. Lineage: Bacteria; Bacillati; Bacillota; Bacilli; Lactobacillales; Streptococcaceae.